This 574-nucleotide ribosomal RNA is filed under the name Coptotermes sp. COP 21 ALX79. RNAcentral describes it as "SSU rRNA". It matches the Rfam family "Eukaryotic small subunit ribosomal RNA", at positions 66 to 626 of the family's 1831-position model. Lineage: Eukaryota; Metazoa; Arthropoda; Insecta; Blattodea; Rhinotermitidae. The record is from RNAcentral.
UAAGCACUUAAGGUGAACCGCGAAUGGCUCAUUAAAUCAGUUAUGGUUCCUUAGAUGGUGGACAGUUACUUGGAUAACUGUGGUAAUUCUAGAGCUAAUACAUGCAACUGAGUCCUGACCGGCGACGGAAGGGACGCUUUUAUUAGAUCAAAACCAAUCGGUCGCUCACGCGGCCGUUUGCCUUGGUGACUCUGAAUAAAUUGAGGCGGAUCGCACGGUCUCCGAACCGGCGACGCAUCUUUCAAAUGUCUGCCUUAUCAACUGUCGAUGGUAGGCUCUGCGCCUACCAUGGUUGUAACGGGUAACGGGGAAUCAGGGUUCGAUUCCGGAGAGGGAGCCUGAGAAACGGCUACCACAUCCAAGGAAGGCAGCAGGCGCGCAAAUUACCCACUCCCGGCACGGGGAGGUAGUGACGAAAAAUAACGAUACGGGACUCAUCCGAGGCCCCGUAAUCGGAAUGAGUACACUCUAAAGACUUUAACGAGUAUCCAUUGGAGGGCAAGUCUGGUGCCAGCAGCCGCGGUAAUUCCAGCUCCAAUAGCGUAUAUUAAAGUUUUUUGCGGGUUAAACAAAG